UCGGGGAGUAGGGUAGCAGGGUAGAAGGGGUAAACGAAGAAGAGUCUCGCGCUAGUCAGUCGGCGGUGAGACUCCGCGUGCGAUACCUCGUUGCAGAGGUACUUUUCCACCCCCUAGAAACGGGCCGCGCGAUUUUUUUCAUCGUCCCGUAAUCGCGCCACGUGCCUGAACUCCAUUCGCGAAAGAACAAGCAGAGUGAUCCGGCGUGAAAAAUUUUUUCUACCAGUGCGAACACAUUUAGUGAACCAGUGCAAACUCAUCGAUAGUCGAUCGUUAUUUUUCAGGGAGGCAUUGUCGCUGGUUGAUCUCGUGUUUCCAGGGUAAAAUUCCUAUUUUCCCGUGAUGCUCGAAGCGCGAUGUUAGGCCUUUUCGUUACAGUUCGGUGCAGAGACCGCGGAUGCACGACCGCGACGAAAAUAUCCUCGAAAAAUCUCGGCAACCGGCCAAGCGGCCUCGAGAGAUCGCUAUAGUUCGAGGGACAGCUUUGAUAAGAUAAUUUAAAGGGGUCUUCGCGAUUUCAAUCGUUCGCCCCGAGCCGAGCCGAGGUCCUUUCUCCAUGCUGGAAUCCGCUUAGCGAAGCUUCCUCUUCUUCGGGAAUCCGUAGCCCUUUUUUACCUUUUCUUGAUGCACUCGCGUUGGAAGCAUGCUUGUGAAAAGCUUUUAACUAUAUCGUGUUUUACGAAAACUGACAUUUUCAUUAAGGGGUCGAGGGUAUUUCCUGCCUCGUUUUAUGUUCCUUUUCCAGCGACAAGAUUUAGGGGACGAUGAUAAAGAAACGAUACGAUCGAUAAAGAGACUUGCUUACUGCCUCGUGAAAGAUAAUAAAAAGAGUUACUAUCGUACGUGAAUUAAAACAACCUCUUUUCUUUUCCGAAUCCGAAAUUUUCUAAAAUUUAAAAUCGCGGAGAGGUCGUCAGAAAGAGAUCAGACGGAUAGAGGAUAGACAGCUUUUUCGAAGUGGUCGUUCAUGUGACUAUGCAUAUUCAACCCUUGAAGAGAAAAACUAGUGAAUAAAAAGUUUAUAAACAGCGCAAAGCAACGUGACGAUUUUUGCUGCGUCCCGUACCAUCUCCUUUUUUCGCCGUGUGUACACGUCAAGAGUCAAGAGAGCAUUUCCGUUCCGCCAGCAGGAAGAUCGAUGAAAUCCCGAUGCGAGCACCGCCGUUGGAAGGAGAGAUAGUGUUUCGCGAGUGAUCCAGUGAGGCAGACCGAGAAGAUCGAAAGGGAAUCGUGGUACACGCGUUACGAGACGCGAAAAAACGCGCGACAGUGUUACAGACGUUUGUAUAUAUGUACAUAUAUGCCUGUGUGUGCGCGUGUGUGGUUAAGCGAGGAGAGCGUCAAGGGAGGAGAUACGAAUCCGCGGAAGCUGGGAGGAACGUUAAAUGAAUGUUGUUGCAAGGAGCGGCUGUGAUCGUGAGAGUAGAAUCGGUGCACGGCAGGAUCGGCCGAUUUCAAUUCAUAAAUGUGCCAGAGACGGAGCCCACAAUGGUGGUUCGGCUCCCGCAACAAGUUCUACUGCUGCUCGUACUCGUCACUGGGACGGCCGCGGAAGCCACACGCGAGACGGAGUCACUGUGGAGCGUGUACGACGCGAAAAGGAGCAACCGUUCCAUUCCCUGGUGGUCGUCCAGCACAGAACGCGCCACGGCAGAAAGCAAAUCCGUCAGAAAGUUUCGCCAGACAACUAGCUGGCACGCAGACAGCUGGAGCUCGAGGGAACGAGUUACGUUGGAAUUGGUAAGGCCGGUCACCGAGAGCCCGAACGACGACGAGGAAGAGGAGGAAAUCGAAAUGCCCGCCAAUCUCGAGACGACGUCCAGAACGGAGAAGAAAGACGUGGGAACAAUGAAAAUAUCGCAUCGAAAUUCGACCGUGUCCACCAGGAGCGCGCUGGACACAAGGCUGAAGAUAAAUUCAUCCGCUGGUCGGACGUUUAUCGAAUCAACGUCGGAACGGUCGAGCUUCGACAAACGUGCUUUCUCCGACGACAUAGUGGCGACGCAGGUAGCUCGGUUUACCCCGAGCUCGAUGAAAAAUCAGAGCAAUAUCUCCACCACGUCGUCAACAUUCUUCGACGUUGUACGACGCCAGAUGAGACACGUUCCGGACGUGUGCGAAAAGUUCACCGUCGGAGAAGAGGGGAAGCAAGAAUUUUACAGCCCCAACUAUCCGGACAACUAUCCGAACCUCACCGAGUGCAUCAAAGUUCUGCAAGCUAACGAAGGUAUGCUGUUGAAACUCGACUUCCGAGACGAGUUCAAGCUCGAGGAAAGCGCCGACUGCCGUUACGAUUUCCUCGAGGUACGUGACGGCCAGCACGGCUACUCCAAUCUCCUCGGCAACUUCUGCGGCACAAAUUUCCCCCCAGAGAUCACGUCCAAGACCAGAUACCUCUGGCUCCGAUUCCACAGUGACGAUAGCAUCGAAGGGAAGGGCUUCAAGGCCGUAUGGAAUAUGGUUCCUAGACCAACUUAUCCGGGUGUGCCGCCGGAACCAGAACCAUGCGUGCGGUACGUGAAUGGUUCGGAGGCGAUUAUCAACAGCAACGACGUGAAGGAUAGAAAGAAACUAGCUGAAAAGGAAGGCAUUGCCAUAGACUGCCUUUGGAACAUCACGGUCAAGGAGGGGAUGAAGAUUCAGCUGACGUUCUCGGAUCCCUUCAAGCUGCAACGACCGAACGAGUGCGACGCCAACUUCGUGGACAUAUUCAAAGAACGCACUGACAUGUCCUCGAGAGAGAAGAAUUUCUGCGGCAGUAUUGCCGACACCGUGGUCAUAACUACCAACACCGCCUUUGUCAGAUUUUACGCGGAGCCGAAAGCGUUGAACAGCAGCUUCGAGGCUGUCAUGACAGCGCUCAGGGACAGAGAUCCGGGAGACAAACCUUGCCACGAUGACGAGUAUUACUGCGAGGACGCGACUUGCAUCGCAGCGAAUUUGCAGUGCAACGGAAGAGUCAAUUGCCGUUUCCGAUGGGACGAAGAAGACCAAGCUUGUAACACGAAAAAAUCACGGUUGAUCGACUCGCAGCAUAUCGUGAUAAUCCUCAUCGUUUUCUCCCUGAUCAUGUUCGGCAUGAGUUUCGCCUUCGUCUUCAACUGCGUACGGAAGUUGAUCCGGGAUCAUCGAAUCAUUCGGGAACACAUCAGACAGUCAAGAGAGAAUCGAUUGGACGAACUUGGUCGUAAGACGACACCUUGUCCAAUCUCGUCUUCGAGAACGGACAUCGGGGAUCGAGGUAGCGAGUCGCCGAGUUUAGAAGUGAUUCCCAGCAAGGAACUUUUACCACCUACCACCCUGAUAGCACAGGAUUACACGAAAGAUCUGGUAUUAGAGAUGGCCUACAACACGAGGGACAUGAACGACAUCCACCAGAGUAACAACGUUAGCAACGCGACACAAGAGCGUUUGCAAGAAUCGAGCGAGGAGCCUGAAAUGCGGGACAAUUCGUGUCAAACGCGAGAGAGCCUGUUCGAGGCACGAAUCUCAGACAACGGGGUGCCUAUAGGGUUCACGACGUUCGGAGUGCGCGGACCGAGUUCACAAAACGGGACCAAUCAUCUUCAUCACCAUCGCCAUCAUCAUCUGCACCAUCACCAGAGUCCGCCGCAAUCUCGUCAGGGUUCAUUGCCGUCUCAGCACAGUACUACCCAACAAUCUUCCGAGCAGAGCUCUCAGCAAGUUGCCUCUCAAUGCUCCGGUUGUAGUCCAGCAUCGAGAGGUCGAGACGGUAGCAUGGGUAUUUGUCCGAAGCACAAUCCCAUUCCAGCCCCGCCAGGCUGGUCGACCCACGAAUCCAACUAUCCGCCUACCCUGCAUCAAGGCACCCCUUACCCGGAACCCCCGGAUUAUCCUUCGUACCAGAGGUUCCAAAGCCCGAAACCGAGCAGAGAGAACAGCGCUUAUCGCCAGUCGCCGAAGCUAUUGAGACAAGGGACAGUCGGCUCCGGCGAGAGGUACGGUAGUUCUAUAUACGGCUCUGGACACGGAUCCAGCAACACGUCGAGCGCUCAACACUCAGCCACGCCAAAGUGCCCUCAAACGACACCGGAUCCAAGGUACAGAGCGGAGGCGGUGAUAGAAGUGGAUCAGAGGCGGCCUUUCAGUAUAGAGAGCACAAAGAGCGCACCGGACGUGAUCGCGACUCACUGACGCCGGGGUCCUGGGGAUUGGGAGCCCUACAAGAGACGCCAUCCCCGUCAAACCGUGACCGAUCAUCAGUUGCAUGCUCGAAACGAUGGAAACAAGGUCACAGUGGCCACACAGAGCUCCUUGGAUGAUGAUGCUUCGACCAGCUCGACCAUAGAGGCGAAUUCCUCCUCCUGAUCCACGCAUACCGGGGCGAUCGAUCGAUCUGCCCAAUCGGAUCAGGACCUAUCUGACCAGGACGAUCGAAAGCCUCUCGAGAAGUCCGAACGGAACAUCCGUGAAACAGAGAGACGGUACGACGUCUCGUUACCGAGAUCCACGGAAAUCGGCAAAAUAAAAGAGGCGGGCACGUGUCCGGGCAAUAACGGUGAAAUCGGCGGAACAGAAGCGAACGAGCUACCCUUACGAGACUUUGUCGGGACAAAUACGGGGUCAUUACACGGCGAUGUCACGAUCCUACACUCGACUGGAAUAGAAUCGAUGGAAAGGGUUCCUGUUGCGAGGACAUCGUCCGCGUGCCUGGCCUUAAAACCGAACGAUCUGCCGAUCCUGAGGCCUCCGGAGGCCUUCGGAGCACCCAUUUUCCGAUGUAAAACACCGACCUUGGCUUGGCAGCACUGCGACUGCCCCUCGCAUUCUCAUUUACCGCCACGAAGAUCGUCGGUUAUCUGGAGCGUCUUGAAACGAUACAACCAAGAGCCUUUUUAUCGAACCUGGCCUAACAGAACCAAUCGAAGGUUCGUUCGACCAUCGAGAAGAACCGUGGGUACUCAGAGCACGUUCGAAGGAUCGCGAUCGUCUCUUGGUGGUCUUCGAUGCGUCGUCAGGUCUAUCGAUAUGACGGAAAGAUCGAUGGACCUGGAGAUUGGAGCUACCAUACCGUUCUAACGUCUACUUUGCGAAUCGCGAGAGGUUUGAUUUCGCACGCUGAAGGUCGAUUGGAUCGCGGACCAAAGGUUUUGUACGCGAGGGAUUAAUAACGAGCGUAUUAUUGUUAACGUAAGUUUAGAAUCGUUUCUCGUUGUUAACUAAAUCGGAUACUGUUCGUAAACGAACGCUAUUUAUCGAUUUAUUGCGUUACAUUUGAGAGGCUCGUUAUUGUUAUUAUAACUUAGGCUGUUUCUAUAUCGAUGCUUUUUUUAAUCCUUUCGACUUUGAAUCAGAGCCCAGGCUGAAUUUUUUACUCGCGAAAAAUAUUCAAUAACCUCCUGAUCAAUGAUCAAAUUGUGUAACACGAAAGAUCGAUCACAUUCGUGAUUACUCGUAAUUCGGAAAACAACCGCAGUAGAAGACAAACACAGGUGUCUGCCUAUACUGGAGACCACGGUUCAUAACGAUGCAACAGAUAUAUCGUGCCUAAGCAAAGACGCAAACUGUAUAUUUCGUUUCCUCCACAAGAUAUCAUUACAAACAGGGGUGAAUCCAGACGUUCGCAUAAAUUAUUUAUACGUUAUGAAAAACAAACAAUAAUACGUUUUGAAAGAUUUCAUAACUCUUCUGGAUUCACCGGUUAUUAUAAAACAAAGUUCGUUUUCCACCAUUUUGUGUAUCUACGUUAGCGCCAAAACGUGUUGCUACUUACCACAAUGCGAAUCCUUGCUGCUGCAUUUUCCUUAAUUGCACCAGUCACUUGUAAUCGGUGAGAGAAACAUACUACGCGCACUAAACACUCGACACUCGUGUUCGUAGAAUAAUUGUAACGAGUUACAUUUACUUUCUCAACGUAUUUCCUUGCGAGGAUAAUUAAAGGACGCGUGAACGAGCAACAAACAUAUCGGAAACGAGGCUCACUUCGCACUGUCGGUAGCUACAGCCGAGCGCCUGUAGAUGGCGAGUCACGAUUGAGCGGAUUAGUCCGGAACGCUGAGUCCCAAAGUUAUUUACGUAGUUUCCGCGGUCGUGUAAACGUAAACGAAAGUGCAGUGUUUGGAAGAUUCGUCGAAGAGCUUGGCACGACUCUCGAGAACCGGUUGAUUGUUUCUGCGAACGAGGUCGAUUCUCAGAAGAAAAAAAUGCUAUCCUUGCCCAGACUAUAUUUCAUUGGAGAAACGAAUCGUCGAAAAUCCAGCUGUGGUUCCAAUAAAUCUUCAACCCUAUCGAAGAGCAUCGGUCACGUUCACGCUGCUACCAGCUGAUUUCAAUCUGUUCCAGGUGUAUCUCGCUGAGCUUUGGACUACAUGGUCCAUGGGACGAAGAAGUGACUAUGGUGGGAGACAUGGGACUCUUAGAUCCAGUGAAUCCAAAGCAAGAGUUCCUGCGAUGAUCGAAAGAUUUCGGACUCUUCGGGACGAAACUCGUGGAACUGGGUGAUCUGGCUGGGAUUAUGGGCGAUCCAGGUAUGGGACUUCUAGGUGGAUAGCUCAUAGUCUUCCCCAGAUUCUUCCUGGUCUCGCAGAAUUGGAAUAUCGGCGACUUUCGACCCGGAGAAUGCAACAGGUCCGGAUUAGGACUCUUAGGACUCCUGCAUCCUUGACGGACGUAGUAACUAGGACUUCUGGGUGCUCGAUCAGUCUCGUUCGCACGGGCAAAUUGCUCGAAAUCGAAGUUCGUGUUCGGGGUUUCCGGAUAAUACCCUGGCGGGAACUCGAAGACCAACGGAGUGCUCGGUGAUUUGACCGCCGACAGCUGCGUAGGACUUCUCUGUCCUCCGAUCGGGAUUUGUGGCAAUUGCGGUAGCUGACGAGGGCUACGGGGUGAUUUCAGGUGUAUCGAUUGACCGGGGCUGUUGGUCGCCAUCUUCGACAGGUUGACGAGUACACACCUUCUUCUUCCUUCCUCCCUGUCGAUCGUCUUCUUCCCUACCUUCCUUUCGCUCGUCCUUUUUAAUCUAUCAGGGAGAAAAACGAGUCUCUCCCGGGCUCAUUGUGCCUCAACGGCGACAAUGAAACACGAGACUCUUUGUUGCUCUCCUCGAUCACCUCCAGCUUCCUCGCGACAGCGAACCGCCAACCGUUUCCAACGGAUUCGAUUUUCAUCUCAGCAAGUGUUUUUCUUCUCAUUUCUUCGACCACUUGCGCAUCUUGUUCCCCGUGGUUUUGUCUGAAGAUGUUUGGAAACGAAGUGUUUCAGACGAGAGAGGACUUUAAACGGUUCUUCAAGGUACGAUUGUUACAGAAAGCUGGACACUGACAAACCUGGAAUGUUUCAUUUGUGUUAAAUAUAUUUGAUUAAGAACUAAAUAUCCUGGCUGGAAUUAUUUUGCAUUGAAAGUAAUUAAUUGUAAAUUCAUUUUAACGAAUACAAGUUGCAGUGCAUGUGGAAAAUGCUGGUCUCAUAGGAAACCAAUGUAAACAAAAGGAUACCUUUUUAAUAUGAUUUGAGGGGAAAAUUAUUCUCUGGCGUGGACAAAGGGGAACAAUUCCAACGAGUCGCAGUAACAUUUCUGCUGAGGGCAAAAUUAAUAUCAAUCACAGAGUAUUUCUGUGAUAUAACUAAACCGCGUAAACAGUGUAGACUCGUUUCUCUUUCAUCUUCGAUCAGAAGAGGAAAUUUCUACGUAUCGCAUGGUUCACGCGAGACCACCAUUUAUUUACUUGUAAUAAUUAUAUUUUAAUGAUACACGAUAUUAAAAAAAAUUCAUCUCAUAAGAAUAUUAAAUAUUGGGAGAUUAAAAUCAGUUAUAAAACGUGCAGAAGUAUGAAUGAAACUCGUUAAGAGUUAGUGCCCCAUUUUCUCGUCUAAUAAAAAAGUUUUAACUCUAAA
Non-coding RNA from Osmia lignaria (orchard mason bee), 7854 nucleotides. The record is from RefSeq and is a predicted model, not a curated record. Lineage: Eukaryota; Metazoa; Arthropoda; Insecta; Hymenoptera; Megachilidae.